AACGAACGCUGGCGGCAGGCUUAACACAUGCAAGUCGAGCGCCCCGCCAGGGGAGCGGCAGACGGGUGAGUAACGCGUGGGAACGUACCUUUUGGUUCGGAACAACUCCGGGAAACUGGAGCUAAUACCGGAUAAGCCCUAACGGGGAAAGAUUUAUCGCCGAAAGAUCGGCCCGCGUCUGAUUAGCUAGUUGGUGAGGUAACGGCUCACCAAGGCGACGAUCAGUAGCUGGUCUGAGAGGAUGAUCAGCCACACUGGGACUGAGACACGGCCCAGACUCCUACGGGAGGCAGCAGUGGGGAAUAUUGGACAAUGGGCGCAAGCCUGACCCAGCCAUGCCGCGUGAGUGAUGAAGGCCUUAGGGUUGUAAAGCUCUUUUGUCCGGGAAGAUAAUGACUGUACCGGAAGAAUAAGCCCCGGCUAACUUCGUG
RNAcentral lists this ribosomal RNA (431 nucleotides) under uncultured bacterium. RNAcentral's name for it is "partial 16S ribosomal RNA". It matches the Rfam family "Bacterial small subunit ribosomal RNA", at positions 29 to 507 of the family's 1533-position model. The record is from RNAcentral.